UGAAAAGCUAAAAGUGAAAAAAAUUAAUGUUGUCAUUUCAGAUACAACCACAAAUAAAAUGGAUACCUUUUCAAUGAAGGUGAAUGUAGGCCAAAAAGUAUUAAUCUCUGUUAUUAAUUAAUUUAAACUUUACUUUCGACGAAGCACUAUCUAUAAUGAAUAGAACAGAAAGUGCUGGUUCAAGUGACACGAACAUGACUGCUGUCAUGUACUCACCAAGCCACCGAAAGAAAAUAGUCAAAUUAAUCUAGAGAUGGCAAAGAAUAACGUUAUGAGUAUAGCUCAAAAAUUAACUUAGCUAUUUAAAAAAAAAUAAUAAUAAGUAAGGUUACGUUCGUUUCAGUCUCGUUGUCAUAAUUUAUCCAUUAUUGCUAUUCAAAAUGACCACAAUUAAACCAUGAUGCACCGCUGUAUUUUUAGUAUUACUUGUACCCCUUAGACAAUACUUCUCAUUCUGUUUCAUCAGUUUUCCGCUAACCCACGAUCCCACUUUCAAGAAAAUGUCGGAUAGAGCUGAAGAGGAGUUUAACAGCUUAAUCACUUGCCUGGUGUGCACCAACACUUUUAACGAGACCGAAAAUUCGCCUCGUACUCUUCCAUGUGGACACAUAUUUUGCCUGAAUUGUCUUGAGAGAAUUUGUAUUAUAAAUCAUCUGGGGGGGGGGAAGGAAUUGACUUGCCCACUUUGCAAAAAGGAUCAUUCAAUUACUUCUUCUAUAAGAGAAUCUACGUUGGAAUCGUAUCAGACGUUGUACCUUGUGAAAUUGCCAAGGGUGGUGGCACCCACUGCUACAGACAGUAGUUAUUUGUUCAUUUAUUUUAAAACUCAAAAUAACAAUAAAUUACAUUUACAGCAGCAGUAAAACCAUCAAAUCUUAACAUUGAGCAACCUAUCCUGCGUCCCCCCCCCGUGGAGGAUAUAACCCCGCUACUAAAUUACCCCACCCGUGACCAAUGUAUGUUAUUGGACGCUGAGCCUAGAGACCAAGCGAUGCCAUCUGUAGGGAGGGCCCGCGGUCAUCCCGGUACGUUAAGUGAUUCGUCGAGGCUAUCUCUACGUAGAACACGCGGACGAGGGGAACUAUUUGCGGAACCUACGCCAAGAUAUUCCCCGUAUUCUCGAGUGAAUUUGUCGAGAAGGAUGAAUUCCCCACCAUCGGCCAGAAAAUCGAAGGCAUCUUCUUCAAGCCCGUCUCCACGUGCGGGAUCACCAAAUCCGGGACCGUUUAGACGAUCCCUGUCACCUAGGCCAGGCCCGUCUACCCGAUCGACGUCCCCAAGGCCAGGACCCUCUAGAAGAUCGUGGUCGCCACCAAAACUAAAUUAUGGGGGGGGCGGAGAAAUACUCCACUGUGAAGGAGGAACUACGUGGGAAAAUGACGAAGAAAUCUGAUAAGACAACUAUUUCAAUCAAAGAAAAACGAUAAGGAAACCAAGGAUUUCUUCCUGUGCAACAUUCGACACGAUUUCUCUACCGACGAACCCUAUUAUGCUCCAGAAUUUUUUUAUUGGGAUAUUCUGGAAGAAAACGGCCUCGGUUGGCGAAAAAAUGUCGUUGUCAAUUCGUUUCAAUUACAACAAGGAAAGCGUACAUGAAAAGCUGGUACAGCUGUAUCCACGUCUCCGUGAGUGCCAACAAAAAUAUUACAUCUGAUGUGUAACAAGGGGGGACGAAGCCAAGAGUUAAGAAUGGUUAAUGUGGGCCCAGCUUCUGGAACAACUAUUACUCAAUUACCAAAAACCCUGUACCUCGUCCCCAUGGUAAGGGAUAUCAGCGUGGAAGGCGUCGCGGAAGAAGUCCGCGAAGAAGACCUGAAAUGUGAAUACUGCAGAAACAUCUUCACAAUGGCGGACUGGGAUAACCACUUGGAGGGGAUAUGUCGGCGAGAUGGUCGACAACAAAGUAGCAAUAGAGAAUCAGAAAACAGGAAUGUAGACGAAGAAUUUGUAGAUUUGUGGGAUGAAGAAUACUCGAAUAUAUGUUAAAAAGUAAACUAUA
Daphnia pulex (common water flea) is the source of this 1999-nucleotide RNA transcript. It is a transcript of the gene named probable serine/threonine-protein kinase samkC, with no coding region annotated. The transcript has 6 exons. NCBI's taxonomy places the organism in Eukaryota, Metazoa, Arthropoda, Branchiopoda, Diplostraca, Daphniidae. The record is from RefSeq and is a predicted model, not a curated record.